This 390-nucleotide ribosomal RNA is filed under the name Triticum aestivum (bread wheat). RNAcentral's name for it is "partial small subunit ribosomal RNA". Lineage: Eukaryota; Viridiplantae; Streptophyta; Magnoliopsida; Poales; Poaceae. The record is from RNAcentral.
AUGGCUGCUCUACGAGGAGGGAAGGCCGCUGGACAUCGUGGACGCCAGUGUCAGGGACUACCCGGAGGCAGAGGUGCUCAGAUACGUCAAGGGAGGCCUGGCGUGCACGCAGGCGGCGCCCGACGGGAGGCCCACGAUGCGGCAGGUGGUGAAGAUGCUGUCGCGGCCCGCCGCGUUCCGCGAGCUGGAGAUGCACUUGACCGACCACGUCCUGGCUUGAGCUUGUCACCUCUUUCCUCCAUGGCAACAAGUAGUACGAAUUGCACCUCGGCCACUUACAGUGAAAUCGUGCCCAGGAACAUUUUCAUAGAAGAUCAGUUCUAUAAUGGCAAUCAACAAAAGAGAAAAGGCUGCCUGACAAGCCUAUCAGAGAGGGGCCUUUCUAUAUAA